This is a long non-coding RNA of Falco peregrinus (peregrine falcon), 854 nucleotides long. RefSeq lists it as uncharacterized. The record is from RefSeq and is a predicted model, not a curated record. NCBI's taxonomy places the organism in Eukaryota, Metazoa, Chordata, Aves, Falconiformes, Falconidae. The transcript is spliced from 3 exons.
UGCCCUUGGCACUGCUCUUGUCAAUACCUACCCUCAUUCCAGGCUCAUGCAAUCACUUACGGCCAUGCUCCAUCUCCAGUAAUGCAGAAGACUGUGAUUCCAAUGAGAUAAUUGCAUUCAUUUAGCAGCAAAUUGAAAAUAUAAAGAGGAGAUCUAGCAACUGCUGAGCAGUGACUGUGAUUAACCAUUGGGGGAAACGUCUGUAGAAUAUGUAAGGCUAUCCAGUUCCUUAGACAUCUUUUGAGAUGAAGCUGCCUCUGUCUUGCUGCCCUCGGUGUGCUCUGAGGAGACAAAGUGGGAGAUCUUUUAACGUCAGAGGUACCACCUUCUGCACCAACCCCUGACUCAUGGAUACUGUAUGGCAGGAGCACAUUUGUUUAAGUCAAAUGUUUUACUUUGGAGUGAGGACAACAUAGCAUGCUGCAGCAUCAUAAAAGGCGGACAAAAUAGAAAUGCUCAGUGAACUUCCCUGUUCCACAGGAACCUGUCAGUGCAUUUCAGCAUGUUUAUUAGGAUGUUUAAACAUUCCUCUCUCUAAUAAUUAAUGUAGCCACCAAGGAAAGCUGUGCCAGCAAAGAUGGAGGUAUCAGUACAAAGUCCAGUUGAUAAUGGCCUGGUUCUUUCUGCUGGUUGUUUACACAAAUGAUUGGACUGAGAGGCCUGCCUCUUGCUGACUGCCACUCCUGCCAGCUGGGUAACCUCCCAGCAUCACAACAGGGGGCAGGGAAGCCCUCCUAGAAUGGAGAUUUCACUGAAGAAACUGGAAGUCAAUGUAACUGCCCUACAUGAUAGAUAAGCAUGUAUGUCAAGUUCCUGUACUCGGUUAAAAAAUAAGUACCUUUGGAAGCAUUCUG